GGGAUUUGAAUCUCGGUAUGCGCUGCUCAGUUACUUCCAGAGCAAUCCACCAAGGAUAGUAUUUUCCUUCUACAGGUCCUAGACUCCUUCAUUCUCUUCAUCUAAAUCCACCAGUACAAAACGCCCUUGGAAAACGCUGACAGAGUCUUUUGACCCUCCGCUGCACCCGUCACUCGCGCAGCCGGCGGAAGUAGAGAGCAGUUGGCCGGAAGUGAGGCUGUGAGGCGGGUAGGCAUUGCCGGGUGAGUAAGUGUGUUAACGAGGCUUGCGAUAUCCCGCGUUUGGUAUUGCGAUCCCCUCCUUCUCCAGGCUCAGAGCUGAGACUCCAAAGUGCCAAGAACCCUGUCAAGUGGUAGUGUGGGAUAUGACCUACCUCGGCUACCAGGGAAGUCAGACAGGAGCCAAGGGGUGCCACUUGGUGUGGCCCUGAAGAAAAUUUUCCAUGGAUGACUGGAACACCCUUCUGUAUUACUCCCUGAAAUCACACUUUGGUUUCUUUCUGAUGCUUGAAACUAUUCUAUGAGCUACAAAGAUGGUAAUAAAUCUUUGCCUCCCACAGUUCAGACCAAGAAUUCACUGCAACAAGAUAUCAGCUGAUGGUUAUGAAGUAGAAAAUCUCAUCUCUGAAGACCUCACAAAGAGAAGCCAUGGUUUUAGGACAGAGUAUUUCAUUAAGCCACCAGUCCACGUGACAGUUUCCUUUCCCUUUAAUGUAUGCCAAAUCUGUAGGAUUCAUAGACCUCACAGCUUGGGGCAGCCAGAAUGUCACUGGCCUGGAGAUGUACACGUCCACCUUAUCCAGCAGAGCCUCUUGGAGUGGGCCCAAGUGCCAGGGCCUCAGCUCCACCGAGCCCUCCUGUGCCCAACAAAGAGGCGUUCACCUUGGUCGGCAAAGUCUUGCUGAAGAACCAGAGCCAAGUGGUAUUCAGCCAGGGCUUCCAAGGCCAGGCCACCUUUUAGCCCAGUGGAAGUCACACUUCCCUCCCCUGCAGUUAUGGCCCAGGAGCUCUGGAAUAAAGGGACUCUUUCCCUUUGCCAUGUGGCCCACCUCAGGAUCUGCAUCACCCACGUGACGGGCAGUGGUGUCCCUUGCAUCAAGAGGUUGGAGGCAGGGUCAGCCGGCCAAGACUUGCUCUCAGGAGGUGAUAGACAGUGUCUUGCUGGUGGCCUCAGAGAGUAUACCUCAGGACCUGGCCCUGCAGAACCGAGCCUCUGCCCAUGGAGAGUGACUGCCACCCGAAGGCCAAUCUGAGGGCCAGCAGGCCCCUUCCAGCCUCGAGGAGCUGGCUGAGGUGAUUUGGGAAGUGCCUGAGGAGUCUCCUGGAUCCCAUCACCCUGGAGAUCAUGCCCUGCCCCAUGCUGCUGCUCCUCGGGCAAGGUCAUCGAUCAGAGCACCCUAGAGAAGUGCUAACCGCAGUGAGGCCACUUGGGGCCGAGUGCCCAGUGACCCAUUCACAGGCAUUGCCUUCACCCCGCACUCCCAACCCCUGCCACACCCCACCCUGAAGGCCCGCAUAGACCACUUCCUGCUCCAGCACUCUGUCCCUAGCUGCCACCUGCUUGGGAGAGCACAGGCUGCACUCAGCAGUGACCCCUUCUUCCAUAACCCCUGCCUUCUCGGAAAAGGAAGCUGGAGCAGGGGCACCGGGCCCAGACAGUAGCCUUGGUGUGAACACUUCCUGCUUUCCUCCGGACCACAAAACUUUCUGGUCUCUUCCACUGCUUCAGAACAUUCCACCAAGAAAAUGAAGGCCACCGACGAGCCUAUCCUGAUGCACAUGGACUGCUCCACAGGGCAGCCUGGCUGCCACCCAGGCCCCGAGUGCACCUCCUGCAAAAGAGUGUUUUCUUCCUACUUCAAAAAAGGAGCCCAUGUACCAGCUGCCCUGUGGCCACCUCCUGUGCCGCCCUUGCCUGGGUGAGAAGCAGCACUCCCUGCCCAUGACCUGCACAGCCUGCCAGCAGCCCUUCACCAGCCAGGAUGUGCUGCGGGUGCACUUCUGACUGACCAGCCUCAGCUGGAGACAGCCAUCACUGGAAGGAGCCAGUGGGGAGCAGGAUUGGGGUCACAGCACCUCUGCGGUUUGGCCAGAGACAGGCACAGAGCUGCCUGUUCUCUUUCUGGGCUUUGUCACCUCACAGUGCAGCACAGGGGUGGGGGGCAGGCUUACUUCUAUUCAGGUGGCCACAAGAUAAAGCCAUAGACUGGGUAGGGAGGGUUGGGGAGAUAUCCCUGCUCUCCUGUACCUCCCUGCCAUGCCCCUGCCAACACCUGCCCAGGGUGGGCACCCCUCCUGAAGGCAUCCCACAUUGUCUGCACACCCCCUCCCAGCAAAGCCUGCAGAGUGGGGCACAGUGAACUGCUCAGGGUCACCCAGAAGUAAACCACACGGGGCUUGGGGUGCAUGACUCAGCCCCUGCCCCCAGCUGGCAACACCUGUGGCCUUAAUAAAGUGAUGGUUGACGUCCUCCUUGGGGAGCACCUGUGUCAUCAUACUCCUGUCCCCAUUUGUCCAUUAAGUGACUGUCACGGGGCACCCAUGAAAGGACAAAAGCUAGAUGGCGUGUUCAGUCUGCCCUGUGUUGGAGGGCCCCAGGUCAGGGUUUGCAGUAGGCAUCACCGUGGGGGCUGUGUAGCCUCCAUCUGCAAGGUACCUGUUGCAGCUGUCAUGGAGAAAACACCUGUGCAGCAUGUGGCCCAUUUCAGGAAAAAAUUUGUGUUUAUAGGCUGUCUUUGUUUUUUUUUCUAUUCACAAUCUAGCUUUAUGGAGUCCCAAAGGAUAUGUAUUCCUACAGCUUUGCUUACCAUAUCAAAUAGAUUCUAGUCACCUGAAGAUUCAGUGAGG
Molecule: long non-coding RNA, 2846 nt
Organism: Heterocephalus glaber (naked mole-rat)
Lineage: Eukaryota; Metazoa; Chordata; Mammalia; Rodentia; Bathyergidae
Source: Ensembl